Molecule: ribosomal RNA, 372 nt
Filed under: uncultured organism
Description: bacterial SSU rRNA
Rfam family: Bacterial small subunit ribosomal RNA
Source: RNAcentral
CGGAGGGUGCGAGCGUUGUCCAGAAUCACUGGGCGUAAAGGGCGCGUAGGCGGCCUGGUAAGUAGGGGGUGAAAUCCUGCGGCUUAACCGCAGGGCUGCCUUCUAAACUGUCAGGCUCGAGCACGGUAGAGGCAGAUGGAAUUCCCGGUGUAGCGGUGGAAUGCGUAGAGAUCGGGAAGAACAUCAGUGGCGAAGGCGGUCUGCUGGGCCGUUGCUGACGCUGAGGCGCGACAGCGUGGGGAGCAAACAGGAUUAGAUACCCUGGUAGUCCACGCCGUAAACGAUGGGCACUAGGCGUCGGGGGGAGCGACCCUCCCGGUGCCGUCGCUAACGCAGUAAGUGCCCCGCCUGGGGAGUACGGCCGCAAGGCUG